RNAcentral lists this long non-coding RNA (304 nucleotides) under Elaeis guineensis (African oil palm). RNAcentral's name for it is "long non-coding RNA (EGUI_LNC074380)". Lineage: Eukaryota; Viridiplantae; Streptophyta; Magnoliopsida; Arecales; Arecaceae. The record is from RNAcentral.
CACCAGAUAAUUAUAUGCUAGCUCUACCACAUCAGACCCAAUUUUUUCCUCUCCCACGUUUGCUUUUAACCGGAUCCAGAUAUGAGAUAGAAAACAAGGGAUAAUCAUUGUCACUCUUUUUUUUGACCAACAUGGCAUCACCAACUUAAGACUUUUCUUACUAACUUCUAAAGAUGAUAAAUAUAUAAUUUUAAUCAGGGUACCACAAUUUCUACCCUACAAGCAAACUAUCCCGGGGACCUUGAAGGGGACUUGAGCCUUUCUUUCUCGGUGCUUAUUGCUUGAUCUCCUGUUUUUUCUCCCC